Molecule: ribosomal RNA, 493 nt
Filed under: Astropecten sp. 7 DEZ-2008
Lineage: Eukaryota; Metazoa; Echinodermata; Asteroidea; Paxillosida; Astropectinidae
Description: partial 12S ribosomal RNA
Source: RNAcentral
UCUUAGCAACCGGAUUUGGUCCUAGUCCUCUUCUUGAUUUUACCUAAACCGAUACAUGCAAGUUAAUUAACAACACAGUGAGUAAAAAUUGAAACCACCUGAAAAGAAGUGGUCUAAUCUCUUAAAUAUCAGAAAUAUACCCCUAAUUCUAAAACAUUUAGCCACCCACACCUGCAGUACCUAACAUUGUACAAUAAGCAAAAGCUUGAUACAGCUAUAGGAAACAAAGAGUUGGUUAAUUAUGUGCCAGCCACCGCGGUUAUACAUAAAACUCAAAUCAAGAAAACCCCUCAUCGGUAUAAAAGUGAUUAGGAUUAAAAUUAACUUAAGGUGGAAAAUAACUCCAGUAUUAAUAAGCUUCUACAGUAAACUAACAACUAUUUCAACUUUCGCCUUAAAACAUCUUUUAGUGUCCGAACCACCAAAGCUCGAAAAUAAACUGGGAUUAGAUACCCCACUAUACGAGCCGUAAAAACCAAAAAUGCCCAGAGAA